GCCUCGGUAGUAUAAUGGAUCAACACGGUAGACGGGAUAUCUGUAAGUGCGGGUUCGAGUCCCACCCAAAGUU
This is a non-coding RNA of Dictyocaulus viviparus (bovine lungworm), 73 nucleotides long. Lineage: Eukaryota; Metazoa; Nematoda; Chromadorea; Rhabditida; Metastrongylidae. The record is from Rfam.